RNAcentral lists this ribosomal RNA (278 nucleotides) under Isocladus armatus. RNAcentral describes it as "partial 16S ribosomal RNA". It matches the Rfam family "Bacterial large subunit ribosomal RNA", at positions 2088 to 2588 of the family's 2925-position model. Lineage: Eukaryota; Metazoa; Arthropoda; Malacostraca; Isopoda; Sphaeromatidae. The record is from RNAcentral.
ACCCUAUAAAACUUUACCUUAAUCAUAAUUACGUCUUUAGAACCUGCCAAAUUUUGAAAAAGGUUUUACUGGGGCGGUAUCUUUUAUUAUAAACAAACUCUACGCUAACAUAAUGUAUGGAUUUGACAAACACCUAACGUAAAAAAUAACAAGUUACUUUAGGGAUAACAGCGCAAUAUUUUUUUAGAGCCCUCAUCGGCAAAAAUGUUUACGACCUCGAUGUUGAAUUGAAGAACCUGCACGGAGCAACCCUCGUGCGAGGAAGUCUGUUCGACUUU